This 460-nucleotide ribosomal RNA is filed under the name uncultured bacterium. RNAcentral's name for it is "partial 16S ribosomal RNA". It matches the Rfam family "Bacterial small subunit ribosomal RNA", at positions 338 to 795 of the family's 1533-position model. The record is from RNAcentral.
CCUACGGGCGGCAGCAGUGAGGAAUAUUGGUCAAUGGGCUUACGCCUGAACCAGCCAAGUCGCGUGAGGGAAGACUGCCCUAUGGGUUGUAAACCUCUUUUGUCAGGGAGCAACGCCGGCUACGUGUAGCCGGACUGAGAGUACCUGAAGAAAAAGCAUCGGCUAACUCCGUGCCAGCAGCCGCGGUAAUACGGAGGAUGCGAGCGUUAGCCGGAUUUAUGGGGUUUAAAGGGUGCGUAGGCGGAAUGCCAAGUCAGCGGUAAAAUCGCGGGGCUCAACCUCGCUCCGCCGUUGAAACUGGCGUUCUUGAGUGGGCGAGAAGUAUGCGGAAUGCGUGGUGUAGCGGUGAAAUGCAUAGAUAUCACGCAGAACUCCGAUUGCGAAGGCAGCAUACCGGCGCCCAACUGACGCUGAGGCACGAAAGCGUGGGUAUCGAACAGGAUUAGAUACCCUAGUAGUC